AGUGAACGCUGGCGGUAGGCCUAACACAUGCAAGUCGAACGGCAGCACAGUAAGAGCUUGCUCUUACGGGUGGCGAGUGGCGGACGGGUGCGGAAUACAUCGGAAUCUACUUUUUCGUGGGGGAUAACGUAGGGAAACUUACGCUAAUACCGCAUACGACCUACGGGUGAAAGCAGGGGAUCUUCGGACCUUGCGCGAUUGAAUGAGCCGAUGUCGGAGUAGCUAGUUGGCGGGGUAAAGGCCCACCAAGGCGACGAUCCGUAGCUGGUCUGAGAGGAUGAUCAGCCACACUGGAACUGAGACACGGUCCAGACUCCGACGGGAGGCAGCAGUGGGGAAUAUUGGACAAUGGGCGCAAGCCUGAUCCAGCCAUACCGCGUGGGUGAAGAAGGCCUUCGGGUUGUAAAGCCCUUUUGUUGGGAAAGAAAAGCAGCAGGUUAAUACCCCGCUGUUCUGACGGUACCCAAAGAAUAAGCACCGGCUAACUUCGU
This 491-nucleotide ribosomal RNA is filed under the name uncultured bacterium. RNAcentral describes it as "partial 16S ribosomal RNA". It matches the Rfam family "Bacterial small subunit ribosomal RNA", at positions 29 to 506 of the family's 1533-position model. The record is from RNAcentral.